UGGGGAAUUUUGGACAAUGGGCGAAAGCCUGAUCCAGCAAUGCCGCGUGUGUGAAGAAGGCCUUCGGGUUGUAAAGCACUUUUGUCCGGAAAGAAAUCCUUGGCUCUAAUACAGUCGGGGGAUGACGGUACCGGAAGAAUAAGCACCGGCUAACUACGUGCCAGCAGCCGCGGUAAUACGUAGGGUGCAAGCGUUAAUCGGAAUUACUGGGCGUAAAGCGUGCGCAGGCGGUUUGCUAAGACCGAUGUGAAAUCCCCGGGCUCAACUUGGGAACUGCAUUGGUGACUGGCAGGCUAGAGUAUGGCAGAGGGGGGUAGAAUUCCACGUGUAGCAGUGAAAUGCGUAGAGAUGUGGAGGAAUACCGAUGGCGAAGGCAGCCCCCUGGGCCAAUACUGACGCUCAUGCACGAAAGCGUGGGGAGCAAAACAGGAUUAGAUACCCUGGUAGUCCACGCCCUAAACGAUGUCAACUAGUUGUUGGGGAUUCAUUCCUUAGUAACGUAGCUAACGCGUGAAGUUGACCGCCUGGGGAGUACGGUCGCAAGAUUAAAACUCAAAUGAAUUGACGGGGUCAUAGCUGUUUCCU
Molecule: ribosomal RNA, 585 nt
Filed under: uncultured bacterium
Lineage: Bacteria
Description: partial 16S ribosomal RNA
Rfam family: Bacterial small subunit ribosomal RNA
Source: RNAcentral